AUACGUAGGGUGCAAGCGUUAAUCGGAAUUACUGGGCGUAAAGCGUGCGCAGGCGGUUUUGUAAGACAGUGGUGAAAUCCCCGGGCUCAACCUGGGAACUGCCAUUGUAACUGCAAGGCUGGAGUGCGGCAGAGGGGGAUGGAAUUCCGCGUGUAGCAGUGAAAUGCGUAGAUAUGCGGAGGAACACCGAUGGCGAAGGCAAUCCCCUGGGCCUGCACUGACGCUCAUGCACGAAAGCGUGGGGAGCAAACAGGAUUAGAUACCCUGGUAGUCCACGCCCUAAACGAUGUCAACUGGUUGUUGGGGAUUUAUUUUCUCAGUAACGAAGCUAACGCGUGAAGUUGACCGCCUGGGGAGUACGGCCGCAAGGUUAAAACUCAAAUGAAUUGACGGGG
RNAcentral lists this ribosomal RNA (395 nucleotides) under uncultured bacterium. Its description in RNAcentral is "partial 16S ribosomal RNA". It matches the Rfam family "Bacterial small subunit ribosomal RNA", at positions 523 to 918 of the family's 1533-position model. The record is from RNAcentral.